ACGCUCGACACCUACGGGGGGCAGCAGUGGGGAAUAUUGCACAAUGGGGGAAACCCUGAUGCAGCGACGCCGCGUGAGCGAAGAAGUAUUUCGGUAUGUAAAGCUCUAUCAGCAGGGAAGAAGAAAGACGGUACCUGACUAAGAAGCCCCGGCUAACUACGUGCCAGCAGCCGGCGGUAAUCUGAGCGGGCUGGCAAGGC
RNAcentral lists this ribosomal RNA (200 nucleotides) under uncultured bacterium. RNAcentral's name for it is "partial 16S ribosomal RNA". It matches the Rfam family "Bacterial small subunit ribosomal RNA", at positions 328 to 539 of the family's 1533-position model. The record is from RNAcentral.